Molecule: long non-coding RNA, 903 nt
Organism: Microtus oregoni (creeping vole)
Lineage: Eukaryota; Metazoa; Chordata; Mammalia; Rodentia; Cricetidae
Exons: 3
Source: RefSeq, a predicted model, not a curated record
CACUCCGGCCCGGAGGGCGGGGCUUCCUGUCGGAAGCGCCCCGGCCGGCUCCGGGAACUCGGACUUGUCCUCUGUCCUGCGUCGGGGCGGCGGCGUGGAACGAAGGCCUUCUGCUCUCAGAAACGAGAAGAUGGAACGGCCAUUGGGACGCUAAGGAGGGCAGCGGUUGCACUGAGACCUGCGCUACGUGAACCUCAGCGGAACUCUGCGCAGCCGCCGCCGCUGCAGAAGCCCGAGGCGCGGGUCUGCAGGGCAGUGCGUGUCCCCAUGUGACCCGCGCGCCGAGGGGACCUAAGGGCAAGUCUGAGAGCCGCCGCCUCCGCAGAGCGCGAGAGCCUCCAGGGUCUCAGCGACGCAGGCACCUCGGCUCUGCAUCCGUACCGGGCGCGAACACAGGAAGAAGCGCCGCUCACGUCGCCGGCCUGAGGGGCGGCCAGGCCCGAGCUGGCGGAGCUGCAGCCUGCGUCUUUCCCUUCGCAUUCGCUUUGCUGCUCUGGUUCCGGAAAACAGAAACUCCUAACCCAGGAGGAAAGGAAGCACCAAGGGAGUAUCCGAUGGGGGUGGAGGGAACCAGACAUUUAAUCCCAAUACACGGAAGCAGGAGGAUCUCUGGAGUUCGAGGCCAGCCUGGUCUACAUGGAACUCACUGCAGCCCAGUGGCCUGCAUCUUACUAUGCAAUUCUGGCUGGUCUGGAACCCAAAGAGCCAACUGCAUCUACCUCCCAAAAGCUGGGAUUAAAAUGACCACCAUGCCCUGCAAACCUGCAGUCUUAAUCGUUUAUUCAGUGGUAUAGUGUGGCUUUGUCAGAACAAAUUGUAUAGAUGAACAGGCAGUUGGUUUUGCAUAGAUCAAGUUAGAAACAAUAUAUUUUCCAUCUUUGUGCAGCUUUAUUUUAACCUCUA